CCUACGGGAGGCAGCAGUGGGGAAUAUUGCACAAUGGGGGAAACCCUGAUGCAGCGACGCCGCGUGAGUGAAGAAGUAUUUCGGUAUGUAAAGCUCUAUCAGCAGGGAAGCGAAUGACGGUACCUGAGUAAGAAGCCCCGGCUAACUACGUGCCCGCAGCCGCUGUAAUACGUAGGGGGCAAGCGUUAUCCGGAUUUACUGGGUGUAAAGGGAGCGUAGACGGCGAAGAAAGUCUGAAGUGAAAGCCCGCGGAUCAACCGCGGAACUGCUUUGGAAAAUUUUUUGCUGGAGUACCGGAGAGGUAAGCGGAAUUCCUAGUGUAGCGGGGAAAUGCGUAGAUAUUAGGAGGAACACCAGUGGCGAAGGCGGCUUACUGGAAGGUAACUGACGUUGAGGCUCGAAAGCGUGGGGAGCAAACAGGAUUAGAUACCCUGGUAGUC
RNAcentral lists this ribosomal RNA (440 nucleotides) under uncultured bacterium. RNAcentral's name for it is "partial 16S ribosomal RNA". It matches the Rfam family "Bacterial small subunit ribosomal RNA", at positions 338 to 795 of the family's 1533-position model. The record is from RNAcentral.